CCGGAGGGGGCGCCCGCGGGGGCGCCGGCUGCCCCCAGAAACGCGCUCCAGAUGCGCGCGGCGCGGCCAGCAUUCCUGGAAGGCAUGGGCAUGUGCCCCAGGCUAGGCCAAUCAGAAUCUGCUGGGACAUCUGCCAGGAAUCACUCUUCAUCCCCUCUGGAGUUACUAGAUGUCAGCCAAGAACUGCUGGUGGCCAUCUCUGACAGCAUGUGAGGAGAACCUGACAAAGAAUGAAUCCCACACAGGAGAACGCAGAGCUGAGGAUGGAGAAAGUAAGAGCCUGGAGACAUCCGAUGAGCCCUGGAUCCAACAGUACCUGAAGCCAACAUCACCCUCAUCAGUCACAUGCUGUCUGCUAACUGGUCUUCUGGGCUCAAGAAUCUGUUCCCGCCAACCCCCCUCCUCUCCCAAUUGUGAAUCAGACACGACUGAGCUGCCCUCACGGUGUCUGUGCCUGCUACCCACAAUUCACGCGGUCCUCACAGGGCCUGGGAAGCUGCAAGAAUCAUCGCUAGGCGUGGACUGGAGGCAGGACACGGCUGUUACAGUCAGCACCUCCCGGCAUCUCAUGACGACCCCGGAUAGGCACGAUCAGCAUGCCCAUUUUAUAGGUGAGGGAGGACACCGAGGCUUGGGGAGCGUGAGCACCUCACCCGGGUCACACAGCUCGCUCAUGGAAGGGCAGGGAUUCAAACCCAGGCUUGGCUGACCUUAAAGCCAGGGCAUUAACUGCACUGACUCAGCAUUCCCAGAAGCUUCCGGCCGCAGGGCUCUGCCCUCCCCCUCCUGGCCAUCCUGCACACUGCUGCCCAAGAACAGUGCUUACAACCCUCCCCCUGCUCAACAACCUUCAAUGGCUCCCCAGCACCCACAGGAAAAGAACAAACCGAAUCUUUUGCAAAGCCCUCCCAUCCCUGACUCCUGACAUCACCUCUGUAAUCCACUUAUUCUUCACCGCGAGCCAAGUGACGGGGCUCCCUGAGAGCCUGGACUACACAUUGCCUGCUCCAGCAGGCCAGGCCCAUGCCCACCACAGGGCCUUUGCGUGUGCCGUUCCCUCCACCUGGAAGCCACUCUCCUCACCGCCACCUCCUCAGAGAGGCCAUCCUGGCCCUCCCAGAGGCAGCGCUCCCCCACACCCCUCUCCUGAAAUACUUUCUCCAUCCCGCUUCUCACUACCCAGCACGACAUUCUCUCAGCACUGAUUUCUGCUGAGUGUGUGAUGCCCCGAUUAGACUGUGAGCCUGCGAGGGCGGGACCUUCCUGUCCUGUUUACUGUGUCCUGUGUCCCCGGUGCCCACACGCAGCCAGUGUUCAGGAAAUGUGGAGUGGGUGAGUGAGUGAAUCUCCACCUCCCAGAGUCAGCACAUGGCUGGCACAGAUCCUCUCCAGCUCUCAAGAUUAUCCUCAGGUGGCCAGCCCCACCCUACUCUGGCCCCAACCUCCAAGACCCUCCCCAUUACUCUCCCCGACGCUCGUCUACUGCGUAGACUUCCCCACACCUGCCUAUGCGGUUCCUGCUCCCUCAGUCACCCCUUCUCCCUCACCUACCCAGCCAACUCCUACACACCCCUCAAGAGCCCCUUCAAGUAUUGCCUCCCUUCCAAGGCAGAGCUGAUCACGCCCCCUUUGACACCCUCUGUCCCAUGGACAUACCCAUUGUGAGGUCCGCAUGCGCUUGCCUCCACUGGACACAGUGCCUGCACACAGCAGGCGCUCACGACACCAUUACAGGGUAACCGACCAGCUCCUCUCAGUUCCUCCACAGUGUAUGGCCUGCCCGACUGGACUGGGACUCGCUGAGGGCAGGGGCUGUUUUGUUCAUUAUGUUCAUUAUGUCCUCACUGAAAAAUCCAAUGCCUGUCGGACGCAUGGACAGACCAACGGACAGAUGAACGGGCAGAUAGAGGAUGACUGAAAGGAAGGAAAAAUGGAUGCAUGGAUGGAUGGAUUGGUGGACAGAUGCCCAGAA
Diceros bicornis minor is the source of this 1972-nucleotide long non-coding RNA. RefSeq lists it as uncharacterized. NCBI's taxonomy places the organism in Eukaryota, Metazoa, Chordata, Mammalia, Perissodactyla, Rhinocerotidae. The record is from RefSeq and is a predicted model, not a curated record. The transcript is spliced from 3 exons.